RNAcentral lists this ribosomal RNA (621 nucleotides) under uncultured bacterium. RNAcentral's name for it is "bacterial SSU rRNA". The stretch from base 1 to 542 matches the Rfam family "Bacterial small subunit ribosomal RNA", at positions 338 to 873 of the family's 1533-position model. The record is from RNAcentral.
CCUACGGGAGGCAGCAGUGGGGAAUAUUGGACAAUGGGCGAAAGCCUGAUCCAGCAAUUCCGCGUGUGUGAAGAAGGCCUUCGGGUUGUAAAGCACUUUAGGUUGGGAAGAAAAAGCUUCGGUGAAUAUCCGGAGUGUUGACGGUACCAACAGAAUAAGCACCGGCUAACUCUGUGCCAGCAGCCGCGGUAAUACAGAGGGUGCAAGCGUUAAUCGGAUUUACUGGGCGUAAAGCGUGCGCAGGUGGUUUCGUAAGUCGGAUGUGAAAGCCCCGGGCUCAACCUGGGAACUGCGUUCGAUACUGCGAGACUAGAGUUUGGUAGAGGGUGGCGGAAUUCCCGGUGUAGCGGUGAAAUGCGUAGAUAUCGGGAGGAACAUCAAUGGCGAAGGCAGCCACCUGGGCCUGAACUGACACUGAGGCACGAAAGCGUGGGUAGCAAACAGGAUUAGAUACCCUGGUAGUCCACGCCGUAAACGAUGAGAACUUGACGUUGGUUCGUUUUACGAAUCGGUGUCGUAGCUAACGCGAUAAGUUCUCCGCCUGGGGAGGUACGGCCGCGAGUAGAACUACAANAGAGUAGACGGCGNGAGAGUGCCGACGGACGACGACGAGGGAGUAGG